This 1307-nucleotide long non-coding RNA is filed under the name Equus asinus (donkey). RNAcentral describes it as "lncRNA (ENSEASG00005031115.1)". Lineage: Eukaryota; Metazoa; Chordata; Mammalia; Perissodactyla; Equidae. The record is from RNAcentral.
CGAGCGAGGCGCGGGGACCCCCGGCUCCGGGCCUCCCCGGCUAGCGCAGACCCUGGCGCGCGCGGCAGGCACGGAGGCGGCCCCAAGCUCCUGGACGGUGGAGUCCCCCGGCCGCUGGAGGGAGCGCUGAAACCGGCGGACGCCUCACUCGGCCGCUGGCCCGCACUCUCGGGUUACAGCGCGGGGCGCAGAGAGGCCCCCGGGGCCCCAGAGGCUGAAUGGCAGCUGCCCUCCUGCCCCCGACAGGCCCGGCUGCCCGCGGCCCCUCCUUGUCCGGCACCCACGCCUCCCUCCUCCCGGACCUUGCAGAAGGAUGGAGAAGGGGCAGUCCUGCAGGGGGUGCUGGGACUGAAGCCCCCUCGGGGAGGGAGGCUGAGGGUGGCCCCUCUCCUCACCCGCCCCCACUGGCUGUUAAUGCUUUGGGGUGCACUCCUGCUGCCUAGGAGGAGGCCCCGGGCGAUCGCGGGUUGGCCCUGCUACCCACGGCAACAGCCAAGUGCCCUAACGAAAGGAGACGCCCACGGAGAGUAAUCCGUGACAAUGGACUGCCUGUCCCCAUCAGAGACGCAACUGGAUGCCGAGAGGUCACGAGACCCUGGAAAAGCCUUUAGAAGAAAGCUGCUUCUCUCCCACCCUUUAGGGUCUAGUGAGCAUGGGAAACACAGGCCCGCGCCCUGAACCCAAGGGGGACGCCACGUAGCUGAUCGGAAAUACCCUAACUGAUGGAUUGCACUGAUUCGUUCAAUUUUAUGUCAGCACAAGAGCGAUGGAUGAUAAAAAUCCAUGUCUAUGAAGUCCAAAAGAGCUCUUUCAAUAAAUAUAAAGAAAAGUUUGCACGGCUAAAAAUGCAUCAUAUCAGCUUUAUUGCCAGUUUUUCUUCCGCGGUGAUCUGGGUGCAUCUUUGAAUGGAAGGCUUCUUAGUUCCUAUGAAACAGGGUAUUUUACUGCCAGGUAUAAAUUCCCAGCCCUCAGGCUUGACCUCCCCGCUACAUGGCCACCUGGACUCCAAUACUGUGGUUCUCUCUGGAUUCCAGGAGGCGCCCUCUCCCCAAGACUUUCCCUUCCACAGAGACUCUCUGGAGCCGGCCCCCUGCUCUCAGGCCCUUCUCACCUCCCCCCGCCCCCACAGAGUCUGGCAGCUCCUUCUCCUGCUUCAGAACCUCAUUCUUUUCUGCCACUUCUCUUUUUCAAAGCACCUCCUUUCUGUGUAAUUCCAGCCUAUUUCCACCCCACGCUGCCAAACAGAUGCGCUAAUUUCCAUCAGCUGUGCUGUCAACCAUCUCUAAAACGGGAGGCAGUAAGGUACG